RNAcentral lists this microRNA (20 nucleotides) under Panagrellus redivivus. RNAcentral describes it as "prd-miR-7903-3p". The record is from miRBase by way of RNAcentral. Lineage: Eukaryota; Metazoa; Nematoda; Chromadorea; Rhabditida; Panagrolaimidae.
AUUCGCACACAUACAUCACC